GGAGAGGCGCGUGAGUGUGCUUUCCCGCUGACUGACUUCAGGAGAAGAUAGGAGAGAAAAACAGAGAAAAAACAGGUUAAAAGUUAAAAAAAACGUAAAUACAGCUGAUUUAACAGCAUUUAUAACUUGUCGGUGAACAGAAAACGCAAGGGGGACAGCUUUUCGUCGAAGAACGACGAGUUUAUUACAAUGUUUGCACUGGUUUCUUGAUCGGAUGAUCAAUUUGGACCAAUCCCUUGAUGGAGGGUUUCCUUCGUUCCGUGGACAACCUUGAGCUCUAGAAAUCAACAAGAGCUGGGGUGGCAUACAUGGUUGAAUGGGACAUUUUAGCAAGGAGAUCAUUGCAAGGGACGCAACUGAGGAGCAGCUUGGAAGAGGACGUGAAAUUAAAGUAUCACUCAGCCGUACCGUGGGAGCCUGGUCUGCACUGUGCUUGCUCUCCUCGUGGACGCGCUGCAGCAGGUUGUCCUCAGAAUGGGACUUGAACUCCAGUUUCUGCAGGCUCUGCAGACGGAAGUUGACCGGGGGUCUCCGUCUGGGCUUUAACCGGUGAGCCACUGAGAGCCGAGAGCCAAACGAGCUCUCUUCCUCUUCCUCCUCCUCCUCUUCCUCCCUUUCUUCCUCAUUCUCUUCCUCAGCUGUGGUCACAUCUUCUGCCUUUGUGCUUCCUCCCUCCUCCUCAGUGUCUGCCUCUCCGUCCUCCUCCGUGCUGUCCCCCUCGCUGGUGGCCGUCCGGCUCUGCAGCUCCAGCAGGGACUCGGGCGAGAGGGUGCCGUAGGCGCUGUCCAUGGAGAGAGAGCGGUACUGUGGGUCCAGCUCUGACCCGUCCAGGGGGUCGGUCUCUGGAGCAGGUGGGAUCUGCUGGGGUUCAGAGCUACUGAGGACAAUAGAAGGGGCUUCAUAGCGGGGGGCGCCGGGGUCAGCCUGCAGCGCGGAGGCAUCUGAGCUCGCCCCAGAAUCCUCUAUUUCUACCACAGACAGAGUCUCCGUUGAGCCGUCUGAGUUUCUGAGGGGAGAAGAAGGAGAGGAAUAACCUCCAGUCUCUGUUUCAGUCUGGCCUGCCGCCGCCGAGCCUCCUCAGAGCGCAGACGCUGGAGCUGGUUCUGAAAAUCAUAUGAAUAUAGCCACAGGUAAAACUCACCGUUUGGAAGCCCAGGUGCAUGUCAGUUGGGUCCAGCAGGCUCCGAUCUCGGCGUGCCCGUUCUAGUGCUGGCAGCAUGACCUGGUUCCACAGCGCCGUGUGCACUCGGACCAGGUCCUGGAUGUUGUUGAAGAGUUUAGCCGGCUCCACCUCAACCAGUAGCCCACAGUCCUGUAGGUUCAGCAGGCCACACAGGAACAGCUGCACCACAGAGCACAAACACAGAACAUCACCCUCCAAAAACUUCAUGCGACUGGAUUUUCAAACAAGCCCAAUUUGUCGGGAAAACUGCGAACCUGGCAACACUGUAUCUGCUGCAGGACGGCGCCUGACCCCUAAAGGGAUAACAGAGUUGGGAAGAGAAGUUUCCUAAUUGGCCAGAAUGGCUGUUGUGAGCCGGGGUUUGGGGGGAGGUGGGGGGAAAACACAGGAUAGUGAUUUUACGAGAAACUGAAAUCUACACAGCUCCAGGAAGCUCCCAAUCUUAGAGAAAAAUGGCAUAAACUGUAGUUUCACUUUCUGUUCAGGAUUGCUCUGAUUCCAGACUUUAGGGGAAAUUCCGCAUUCAGGAAGACAGUCACUGGUGUUCCUUGAACUUUUCACUAGAUGUGCAGAUGGAGGGAGGGAAUGUGUACAGGGUUGGGAAAUAAGGCUUGGCUAGUACAGUAGAGUGGUAUUAAAUUAACCAAAAGAGCUGACAUUUUUUGAAUGAUUACAUGUGUGAUUUUGAUAUAUAUACAUGGAGUGUUUUCAAUAACUCGAGAACAUUAUUUAUGCUGUGUGACAGCGAGCUCCAGAUAACCCAGGCCUGGGAAAUGCUGUGGUUUCCAGAGUGAACACAGUUCCAAACGUUUCUUCACCAAAAUGCAAGCCGGGGAAGAAGAAUCCACUAAAGCGGCUGGCUGCGCGGUUCUUGCGGUUAUCAAAUCCAGGAGGGAGGCUGGGAAGAGAACCCCCUAGCCCGGCCAGAGAGUCUGGAGACGGGAUGUUUUCAUCACCUAGGAACUUGGUCAUGUUUUUUGUCCGACGUGUUUGACCCUGGGAGGGUGAGAGAAAGAGAGAGAUAAUGUAAGUUACAAUGAAGUUUAAGAAGCCUCUAAACACUAAA
This is a long non-coding RNA of Astyanax mexicanus (Mexican tetra), 2249 nucleotides long. RefSeq lists it as uncharacterized. The record is from RefSeq and is a predicted model, not a curated record. NCBI's taxonomy places the organism in Eukaryota, Metazoa, Chordata, Actinopteri, Characiformes, Acestrorhamphidae. The transcript is spliced from 8 exons.